GACGAACGCUGGCGGCGUGCUUAACACAUGCAAGUCGAACGGAAAGGCCCUGCUUUUGUGGGGUGCUCGAGUGGCGAACGGGUGAGUAACACGUGAGUAAACUGCCCUUGACUUUGGGAUAACUUCAGGAAACUGGGGCUAAUACCGGAUAGGAGCUCCUGCUGCAUGUGGGGGGUUGGAAAGUUUUGGCGGUUUGGGAUGGACUCGAGGCUUAUCAGCUGGUUGGGGGGGUUGUGGCUUACCAGGGCUUUGAGGGGUAGCCGGCCUGGGAGGGGGACCGGCCUCAUGGGGCCUGAGAGACGCCCCAGUCUCCUACGGGACGCAGCGGUGGGAAGUAUUGCGCAGUGGGGCGACGCCUGUUGCAGCGGCCCCGCGUUCGGAAUGACGGCCUUCGGGUGAUAAACCGCUUUGUCCUUUGCCGAACCGUGCUUGACGGUAAUGGAUCAGAAAGCCCCGGCUAACUACGUG
This 468-nucleotide ribosomal RNA is filed under the name uncultured bacterium. RNAcentral describes it as "partial 16S ribosomal RNA". It matches the Rfam family "Bacterial small subunit ribosomal RNA", at positions 28 to 507 of the family's 1533-position model. The record is from RNAcentral.